ACACGUGGGUAACCUGCCCAUCAGAGGGGGAUAACAUUCGGAAACGGAUGCUAAAACCGCAUAGGUCCUUUAACCGCAUGGUUGAAGGAGGAAAAGAGGCGCAAGCUUCUGCUGAUGGAUGGACCCGCGGUGCAUUAGCUAGUUGGUGAGGUAACGGCUCACCAAGGCCGUGAUGCAUAGCCGACCUGAGAGGGUGAUCGGCCACAUUGGGACUGAGACACGGCCCAA
This 228-nucleotide ribosomal RNA is filed under the name uncultured Carnobacteriaceae bacterium. RNAcentral's name for it is "partial 16S ribosomal RNA". It matches the Rfam family "Bacterial small subunit ribosomal RNA", at positions 113 to 334 of the family's 1533-position model. The record is from RNAcentral. Lineage: Bacteria; Bacillati; Bacillota; Bacilli; Lactobacillales; Carnobacteriaceae.